RNAcentral lists this long non-coding RNA (731 nucleotides) under Homo sapiens (human). Its description in RNAcentral is "non-protein coding lnc-DHX35-6:3". Lineage: Eukaryota; Metazoa; Chordata; Mammalia; Primates; Hominidae. The record is from RNAcentral.
CACCCCUUCUUGGUUAAGUUUUGGCAGUUGGAGAAAUUGGUCUGUUUCUUCUUGGUUGUUAAAGUUAUGAACAUAAAGUUGUUCUUAGUAUUCCCUUAUUAAGUAUGUUUCUGAAGAUAUUUGAUAGAGGGAAUGGAAGGUGGAUUUGAUCAAUCACUUGGGGCUUGGCAGAUCAUAUAUGUAUUUAUUUUAAAUAUACUGUACAUGAAGCUUCUCUGACCAGAAAGACAUAUGCCGUCAUUGAAGGUAUUAUGUGAGAACAUGAGCUCUUAAGUUGAAAUGGAAAAUACAACAUUUGAGCUUGCUUACUUUCAACAAUCGAGAAAAGAAUAGAGACUAAUAUUGAUAUUUCAAACGUUACGGAAGUGUGUGAAAUUAAAAAAAUAAACUUCUACUCACAGUUCCCAUGUUGCUAAUCUACUGUCAUAUAACCCUCUGUGGAUCUUUUUUCAGCCUAUUAAUUUUAUGUGAUCCCAGUAUGGAUUAGCAUUUCAGUUCAUGAUGGUUCAAGACUUAUCUGAUCUACAAUUCCCAAAGCUACCUUCACUACUUAUCCAGAUAGAAAGAAAUACAUUAUUAUGCUUUAUAGGUGUAUUAGUCUGUUCACAUGCUGCUGAUAAAUGCAUACCUGAGACUGGAUAUUUAUACAGAAAAAGAGGUUUAAUGGACUCACAGGUCCAUGUGGCUGGGGAGGGCUUGCAAUCAUGGCAGAACGCAAAAGUCACAUCUUA